This 457-nucleotide ribosomal RNA is filed under the name uncultured bacterium. RNAcentral's name for it is "SSU rRNA". It matches the Rfam family "Bacterial small subunit ribosomal RNA", at positions 26 to 518 of the family's 1533-position model. The record is from RNAcentral.
AGGAUGAACGCUGGCGGCGUGCCUAAAACAUGCAAGUCGAGCGGUAAGGCCCUUUCGGGGGUACACGAGCGGCGGACGGGUGAGUAACGCGUGGGAAUCUACCCCAAACUGAGGGAUAAGCACUGGAAACGGUGUCUAAUACCGCAUAUGGUCUUCGGAUUAAAGCUUCGGCGGUUUGGGAAGAGCCCGCGUAAGAUUAGCUAGUUGGUGAGGUAAAGGCUCACCAAGGCUACGAUCUUUAGCUGGUUUGAGAGGAUGAUCAGCCACACUGGAACUGAGACACGGUCCAGACUCCUACGGGAGGCAGCAGUGGGGAAUAUUGCGCAAUGGGCGGAAGCCUGACGCAGCGACGCCGCGUGAGGGAUGAAGGUCUUCGGAUUGUAAACCUCUUUCAGUAGGGACGAAUUAAGACGGUACCUGCAGAAGAAGCACCGGCUAACUACGUGCCAGCAGCCGC